Molecule: long non-coding RNA, 707 nt
Organism: Ornithorhynchus anatinus (platypus)
Lineage: Eukaryota; Metazoa; Chordata; Mammalia; Monotremata; Ornithorhynchidae
Exons: 4
Source: RefSeq, a predicted model, not a curated record
GGACUGCCGGGCUGGGACCUUCUAGCGUCGUGCGAGUCGCGCUCAGCUACGGGCGAGCGGGCGGCUCCCGGCGAAAUGCAGAAAAGGCCUCUCCGGGGCCCCCCGCUGCCCGGGAGCUCGGCGAUCUGCAGAAGAAGGCCUCUCCGGAGACCCCGGCGGCACGCCGAAGCACCCCACUUGGGCUUCUGCUCUCGCAGCUGUGCACAUGCCUCGGGCGCCCUGCUCUCGGACGGCAGUGCUGGCUGCAGAAUGACAGAUUGCAAUCUUCACUAAAGCCAAUCUUUCAAAGGUAAAAUGAAGAUAAUGUUCCAGGGAAACAGACAAUUAGAAGACACAAUGCCAUGCCUGCCACCAAGGCAAUGUGAUACAUCCCUGAUAUUCUCAGCAACAAAAGGCCUUCUCCAAAAUGCUUUCAUCUGCCACUGUGUAUGGGAGGGUCACUUUCAGCUUCUGAUUUUCAUCCAUUGUCUGACAGAUGAUCUCAUAGGCAUUCCUAUUCCCUGACCAGCAACGACGAGCCACCUGUCAAAUCACAGAGAAAGGAAUGGAGAAAAGGCAGAAGAGGAAACUCGGUAGAGGGUUUAAUCAGCCCCUGAAGAGGAACUGGGAUUCAAGGAGACCUUGGCCGGUUUAACCAUCCCUGGCAUCACAUCUACAAUCAUGACAUGAACUUGAUGACAUUUCUCUUUCUCUCGGUCCUCCUUACC